Molecule: long non-coding RNA, 269 nt
Organism: Cheilinus undulatus (humphead wrasse)
Lineage: Eukaryota; Metazoa; Chordata; Actinopteri; Labriformes; Labridae
Exons: 3
Source: RefSeq, a predicted model, not a curated record
ACAAGGCUACAUCUUUCCUUCAGGCGGAUUUAGAGUAGACUCCACCAACAGCUGCAGCCUGCUUAGUCCACAAAUGAUCAUUAUGGCAAAAAGAAGAAGAGAAUAAGGAGGGAGAAAGCUAGAGCUGUGGCUGAGGAGAAUGAAUGCAUGGCGAUAGAAACGAAGCCCUUGCAGACCGUCCCAGUGCUGCACACACAAACGCAUGUAACAGGACAGACAGUCCAGGUUCUGCUCCCAAGCAUUCAGACCCCUGUCAGUGUACCUGUGUG